GAUGAACGCUGGCGGCGUGCCUAAUACAUGCCAGUCGAGCGAACAGAUAAGGAGCUUGCUCCUUUGACGUUAGCGGCGGACGGGUGAGUAACACGUGGGUAACCUACCUAUAAGACUGGAAUAACUCCGGGAAACCGGGGCUAAUGCAGGAUAACAUUUUGAACCGCAUGGUUCUACAGUGAAAGGCGGCCUUGCUGUCACUUAUAGAUGGACCCGCGCCGUAUUAGCUAGUUGGUGAGGUAACGGCUCACCAAGGCAACGAUACGUAGCCGACCUGAGAGGGUGAUCGGCCACACUGGAACUGAGACACGGUCCAGACUCCUACGGGAGGCAGCAGUAGGGAAUCUUCCGCAAUGGGCGAAAGCCUGACGGAGCAACGCCGCGUGAGUGAUGAAGGUCUUCGGAUCGUAAAACUCUGUUAUUAGGGAAGAACAGAUGCGUAAGUAACUGUGCGCGUCUUGACGGUACCUAAUCAGAAAGCCACGGCUAACUACGUG
Molecule: ribosomal RNA, 497 nt
Filed under: uncultured bacterium
Lineage: Bacteria
Description: partial 16S ribosomal RNA
Rfam family: Bacterial small subunit ribosomal RNA
Source: RNAcentral